AAAGCAUUAUUUUUAAUGUAAGAGCUGCUUUCUACUUCACUUCUGAGGAAAGUAACAGAGUAAGCAAAAACGAUGCUUCACAUUUGCAGAGACAAAAACAGAUUUGGAAUUAAGACAGCCAGUGCUUCCUGGCAUCAGUGUUGGCUUUGUCUAUAGACAGAGAGAAAACAUGCUACAAUGCCAACUCCAAUAUGAAGUUAUAAAGUUAAUUUUAUAUGUAUCUUAACUUUCCCCAAACUCAAGGGUAAAGCCCAAAUUGACUUCACUGGAGUAAGGAUGAAUAAUCAUAGAAUCUUUAAGGUUGGAAAACACCGCUAAGAUCAUCUAGUCCAACCAUCAAACUAUCACCACCAUGCUUACUAAACCACAUCCACAAUGACAUAUGAUAGUUUUCUUGAGAAAAGAGGACUGGAACAAUACCUAGACAUGGCUGUUGUAAGCACACAAUUGGGUCUGGACAAAGAUCAGCAAAAUACAUCGCUGCUUCACCACUGGCAGGAGGAUUGCUAUUCAGCAGGAUGCUCACAGCAUCUGGCUUAGUGAGAUGAUUUAGUUCUGAACUAGGAUGCACCGAACAACCCCCUGAAGGACUGUGUAUUCCUCCACUGACUACAUAAGGAGCCCAAGGAAACAAUCUUUAAAUUCUAAUAAAAAAAUCUGGAAAAUGGAAAAUUAAGCUGCACCCCACUUCUCCUUCAGAGGUUCAGCUCUUCUCUUUCUUCCUUCACUGCAGCAGGGAGACAGAAUAAUACACCCUUGUUUUUCAUGGCACAGCAAAUGCUUCUUGAGUCAGUAGCAUUUUACCAACUAGCACAUGCAAAGGAUAUGUCCAGUCUACUUCUUUCACCAAGUUUGUGGGAAAAAUAUAGCAUUUCUUCAGGAUAUCAUAUUAAAACUUGUGUAUGACCACCUGGUGCAAGGCAAUAUUACGCAGAUUACAUAAUAGAAGACGACUUUAAAAAAUGGUGCUUAGCUUUUUCUUUUAGAAAUUUGCCAGCAUUGUUGUUGAUGUGAUUUUGUUCAAUUUUUUUCAGAAUGUGAUUAAAAAUGAACAAACCUUUUACACAGAUGAUUAUUCAGCAUUUUAUGUAUAUAUUGGACAAGAAUGUAUUACAAUUUAACUCAUUUUAGAAAAUGCAGAGGUGGGCAAAUUCUUAAUUUAAUGAACAUCUCAACAUUUGAUAUUGUAAAAUACUCUUAAACAGAACAUAUACUCAAAAAGAUCUUAGGGUGACAUCACAUUUAAAUAAAGCCCAGCUAUGAGAAUAUCAUGUUUUCUUCAGAAAAAUUUUGUAUCUUAGAAAACAAUGAACAACUGUUGGAAUAUUUGGAAAUGCUCAAAAAUAUUUGUCAUAUUUUAUAUAAUCUUUUUUGAGCCUUCAGAUCCCUGAAAAUGUGUAUUCAUUGUUGCUUGAAAUUUUCACAAAUGUCUUAUUUCAUGAGUACAGUGGCCCUCAGAUAUAACCCUCAUCUUAUAAGGAAGACAGAAUCAUGAAGGAGGGUUUUACAAUCUCUAAGUAAUUUAUAGAUUUCAAUGAUAUCAGGCAUGUAAAACCCUAUAUCUGGGAUAUAGGCUAUUUAUUUGUGCUGUCAGAAAGACAUAGUUAUAUAGCUUUCUCAAGCCUAGGAUAAAUCCAAACUUCACAUGUGAUCCUAAGAUAUUAUACAUCUCCAAAACUUUUAACUUUGAUUUAUUCCUUCAAAUUUUUUUAUUUUUUUUUUAAAGAGGGAAUGAGAGAGAGCAAGAGAAUACUGAGAAGACACUUGGUGGGCAAUUAUACAGGAGGAAUCAUUUCCCUUUCAAGCUAUAAGUUGUUUUUCAUUUGACAUACAUUUUCUAGUGUUGGUUAAUGAAAACAAACAAGAAAUAUUGAAGUUAAAUUCAGCAAAAAAAUUAUUAGCCUCAUGAUAUGUUAACAACACAACUAUUUCCAUUACUUUUUCUGGUGGAUUUACUAUAUUUUGUGAACACCACUGUUAUUCUUUGUAUUAGGAAAGGAAUGUCUUAUUGCUAUUUGAGUUGUCUGGGAUAAAAGAAAGUUUGGACAAAAGCUUUUUGUUAUGCUGUAUUUUGUGAAGUGUGUACAUGUAAAACAUUGUCAAAUCUAAAACUUUGUGUAUUUUUUACAUAUUUU
This is a long non-coding RNA of Gallus gallus (chicken), 2135 nucleotides long. The record is from Ensembl. NCBI's taxonomy places the organism in Eukaryota, Metazoa, Chordata, Aves, Galliformes, Phasianidae.